AAGCCUCAAGUUAUGUGUGACAACCCCCUGAAUUUAAGCAUAUUAAUAAGGGGAGGAAAAGAAACCAACCGGGAUUCCCUGAGUAGCUGCGAGCGAAACGGGAGAAGCUCAGCACGUAGGGAUGGCGGCCCGCCCGUCUAUCCGAUUCCGUGUACUGGUACGUCUCACUAUCCGUCUUCCUAGUGGUAUUCAAGUCCAACUUGAACGUGGCUUCGAACCCAUAGAGGGUGAUAGGCCCGUAGAACACCACCCAGCGGUUGAUGGACCGAGCGUACCAUGGAGUCGUGUUGCUUGAUAGUGCAGCACAAAGUGGGAGGUAAACUCCUUCUAAAGCUAAAUACGACCAUGAGACCGAUAGUAAACAAGUACCGUGUGGGAAAGUUGAAAAGCACUCUGAAUAGAGAGUCAAAUAGUACGUGAAAACUGCCGAGGGUGUAAAAGCCUGUUGAACUCGAUUAUCCGUAGUUCCUGGCAUCGNGGGUUUUGGCUGUCACGCAGAAGGGGGCCUUCUGAUGCCUUGACCCUAGCCAGGAACGAGUGCGGACAUCGUGAUCCAUUACGCAAACCAAAUGCGAGCGGCGACUCCGGUUGCUGCGAGCAUAUCCAACAUCAGGUCCCAGAACAUGCGGUCGACCCUCUAGUAGUGGCGCUCAGCUUAAGGCCGGCGUCGCGAACGGGGGAUCGAGGCUCCGGUCUCGAGUUCGGCUAGUUCCGGUGUGCCGUUGGAUGCGUGAUGGGCAUUGAAGUGAACUAGAGAAGUGUGAAGCGCAUGUUUGGGCAUGUUCAAGGGCGAAAGCCUGAGCCGAGCACGACUCCGGAUCUACGAUGUACUAACUAAUCGAGGUACCUACG
Molecule: non-coding RNA, 852 nt
Filed under: Anopheles sinensis
Lineage: Eukaryota; Metazoa; Arthropoda; Insecta; Diptera; Culicidae
Description: Eukaryotic large subunit ribosomal RNA
Rfam family: Eukaryotic large subunit ribosomal RNA
Source: Rfam by way of RNAcentral